RNAcentral lists this ribosomal RNA (253 nucleotides) under uncultured bacterium. RNAcentral describes it as "partial 16S ribosomal RNA". It matches the Rfam family "Bacterial small subunit ribosomal RNA", at positions 524 to 776 of the family's 1533-position model. The record is from RNAcentral.
UACGUAGGGGGCAAGCGUUGUCCGGAAUCAUUGGGCGUAAAGAGCGUGUAGGCGGCCCGAUAAGUCCGCUGUGAAAGUCCAGGGCUCAACCCUGGAAUGCCGGUGGAUACUGUCGAGCUAGAGUGCGGAAGAGGCGAGUGGAAUUCCUGGUGUAGCGGUGAAAUGCGCAGAUAUCAGGAGGAACACCAAUGGCGAAGGCAGCUCGCUGGGACGUGACUGACGCUGAGACGCGAAAGCGUGGGGAGCAAACAGG